Molecule: ribosomal RNA, 465 nt
Filed under: uncultured Klebsiella sp.
Lineage: Bacteria; Pseudomonadati; Pseudomonadota; Gammaproteobacteria; Enterobacterales; Enterobacteriaceae
Description: bacterial SSU rRNA
Rfam family: Bacterial small subunit ribosomal RNA
Source: RNAcentral
CCUACGGGGUGCUGCAGUGGGGAAUAUUGCACAAUGGGCGCAAGCCUGAUGCAGCCAUGCCGCGUGUGUGAAGAAGGCCUUCGGGUUGUAAAGCACUUUCAGCGGGGAGGAAGGCGGUGAGGUUAAUAACCUCAUCGAUUGACGUUACCCGCAGAAGAAGCACCGGCUAACUCCGUGCCAGCAGCCGCGGUAAUACGGAGGGUGCAAGCGUUAAUCGGAAUUACUGGGCGUAAAGCGCACGCAGGCGGUCUGUCAAGUCGGAUGUGAAAUCCCCGGGCUCAACCUGGGAGCUGCAUUCGAAACUGGCAGGCUAGAGUCUUGUAGAGGGGGGUAGAAUUCCAGGUGUAGCGGUGAAAUGCGUAGAGAUCUGGAGGAAUACCGGUGGCGAAGGCGGCCCCCUGGACAAAGACUGACGCUCAGGUGCGAAAGCGUGGGGAGCAAACAGGAUUAGAUACCCGGGUAGUC